GACGAACGCUGGCGGCGUGCUUAACACAUGCAAGUCGAACGGAAAGGCCCUGCUUUUGUGGGGUGCUCGAGUGGCGAACGGGUGAGUAACACGUGAGUAACCUGCCCUUGACUUUGGGAUAACUUCAGGAAACUGGGGCUAAUACCGGAUAGGAGCUCCUGCUGCAUGGUGGGGGUUGGAAAGUUUCGGCGGUUGGGGAUGGACUCGCGGCUUAUCAGCUUGUUGGUGGGGUAGUGGCUUACCAAGGCUUUGACGGGUAGCCGGCCUGAGAGGGUGACCGGCCUCAUUGGGACUGAGAUACGGCCCAGACUCCUACGGGAGGCAGCAGUGGGGAAUAUUGCACAAUGGGCGGAAGCCUGAUGCAGCAACGCCGCGUGCGGGAUGACGGCCUUCGGGUUGUAAACCGUUUUCGCCUGUGACGAAGCGUGAGUGACGGUAAUGGGUAAAGAAGCACCGGCUAACUACGUG
RNAcentral lists this ribosomal RNA (468 nucleotides) under uncultured bacterium. RNAcentral describes it as "partial 16S ribosomal RNA". It matches the Rfam family "Bacterial small subunit ribosomal RNA", at positions 28 to 507 of the family's 1533-position model. The record is from RNAcentral.